This 779-nucleotide ribosomal RNA is filed under the name uncultured Neocallimastigales. Its description in RNAcentral is "partial large subunit ribosomal RNA". It matches the Rfam family "Eukaryotic large subunit ribosomal RNA", at positions 22 to 645 of the family's 3401-position model. The record is from RNAcentral. Lineage: Eukaryota; Fungi; Neocallimastigomycota; Neocallimastigomycetes; Neocallimastigales.
AUAUCAGUCAUGCAUAGCAUAUCAAUAAGCGGAGGAAAAGAAACUAACAAGGAUUCCCUUAGUAACGGCGAGUGAAGCGGGAAGAGCUCAAAUUUGAAAUCUUCAAGGUUUUACCUUGACGAAUUGUAGUUUAAAGAAGUGUUUUCUGUUGGAGUUUUGGUAAAAGUUCUUUGGAAUAGGACAUCAUAGAGGGUGAGAAUCCCGUAUUUGACCGUUACUUUCCAGCUGUGUGAUACACUUUCAAAGAGUCGGAUUGUUUGGGAAUGCAGUCCAAAAUGGGUGGUAAAUUUCAUCUAAAGCUAAAUAUUGGCGAGAGACCGAUAGCGAACAAGUACCGUGAGGGAAAGAUGAAAAGAACUUUGAAAAGAGAGUUAAACAGUACGUGAAAUUGUCAAAAGGGAAGUGUUUGACACCAGUGUUGUUUAGUUGAAAAUCAAUUCAAUAAUUUUUGAUUUUGAGUAGUAUUGACUUCAUCAGCUUGCUGCUUUCUUUUCAGAAAUUAUUGAAUGCACUUUUCAGUUAACAAGUCAACAUCAAUUUCUUUUGUUGUAAAAGGGUAAGAGGAAGGUGGCUUACGCUUCGGCGUCAAGCGUUUAUAGCCUUUUACCUCUGCAAUCGGAGAGAUUGAGGACAUGCAGCGUAGACUCUUCGGGGUUAGAUACACUUUGUGCUAAGUUAUAGCCUUGUAUAGACAACUUGUUGACUAUAGCUCAGUCAUGUAGCUUACUCGCAUGAUAGUAUUUUACCUACGCUUAGGAUGUUGAUGUGAUACUGCGAGC